Molecule: transfer RNA, 63 nt
Filed under: Pandarus rhincodonicus
Lineage: Eukaryota; Metazoa; Arthropoda; Copepoda; Siphonostomatoida; Pandaridae
Description: tRNA-Met
Source: RNAcentral
AGAGAGAUAAGCUAAAUUAAGCUAAUAGACUCAUAAUCUAUCUAUAGGUUAUUCUUUUCUCUA